GGAAAAUCCAAGAAAACCGGCCAAAUUCAAACCUAGUGAUCCCGACGUCCAAAACCUUCAAACGAAGCACUCCGAGCUUUCUUGGGACCUCAAUAAGCUCACUAUAAGCUUAGAAUUCCCUGAAACACAACAUUUCACGUGUGCAUGAACAGUGACACAAAUUGGGGGUUCGGGUUUCCCGUUAUAUCAAAGGUUUCACUAUCUAAAAUUAGUACCAUUCAACUCAGGACGACGAAAGGAUGAAGAAUCUUACCUCAAUAGCUUCGAUCCGCUGAGUUUUGGAGGGUUUUGGGUGAGGUCCGUACGAUAUGGGUGAGAGAGAGUGAGAGAAUCGUGAGGGAGGAGAGAGAAAGUUACGGGAAAGAGGGAGAGGACAGGGAGUGUGUGAGGUGUCCAACACCAAUCCUCACCAUCCAUUUCAUCUAAUUCCCUAACCACAAAAUUAACAAAAGCCAAAAUUUUAAUCCAAAACUUAUAAUAAGUUAAUCCAAAUAACGUCACACACACAUACCUUAAUACCCGCUAAGGGUAAAUCCGUCAUUUCAUGCUUCCGAUAUAAAAUUUUCGGGACGGGCUGUGACAGUAAAUAUUUUAAAUUGAAAAUCAAAUUCAUUCAUUGUAUUCAUAGAAGGUCAACGAGUAUAGCUGUAAAAAAUCAUCAAAAUCGGAAUUAAAAUAGCCGUUAAAUCGUGAUUUUUUAUUUUAUAACCGUCGAAAAGUUUUGUUCCGUUACUUGAUCUCUGAAUGUUUGUUUUUGCGCUUUUUUGUUGAUGCGAUCUCGAAGCAUAUACAAAUAAGUUUAACGGUUGGAUAGUUGAAAUUAGUUUCGUGUAUCCCAUCAAGUUCAAUGGUGUGUAUAUAUAUAUUAUGUAGAUUUAAAUCUAUUUAUUUUGUACGUAUAAUUAUUAUAGUU
Molecule: long non-coding RNA, 913 nt
Filed under: Malus domestica (apple)
Lineage: Eukaryota; Viridiplantae; Streptophyta; Magnoliopsida; Rosales; Rosaceae
Description: long non-coding RNA (MDOM_LNC006155)
Source: RNAcentral